CUUGGGUGUCAUUAAGAGGAGCAAGUACAUGGUGGAGAAAUGGAAGAGAAAGAGAAACAGAAGGAUGCCCGUCCAAUGAAGAGAGGCAAAACUGGAGACUCAAGGUAGUGAGUGAUGAUGCCUCAGCUCUCCUGUGUCAGUGGGGAUGAAGAAGUACUUUUUCCACAAAGGAAGUUUCCCUGGACAUAGAGAAAACAGUCUACACUGAUAUUGGACCCAGACAAAAAAAAAUGAAGGGCUUGAUGUAGUGGUACACAUCUUUAAUCUCAGCAUUCGGGAGACAAAGGCAGGAACUCUACAGUCAACUUCCAGCCUUCUAGUUGAAGUCACAAGAAGAAAAAGUUCCCAGGACAUGAACAACACCAAGAAUAAACAUCAUAGAAUGAUGGAAGGGAGAAACUAGAAACUUGCCUUGUUUGGCCAAAGUCUGGCAUUAACAGAUGAGCAUGCAGAUGGGAGCCCACAGGAGGAAGCAUACAUUCUUGGGGAACACACAUAUUGUGGAGAACUUACUAAAGGAGACAUAAACGGAAA
Molecule: non-coding RNA, 534 nt
Organism: Rattus norvegicus (Norway rat)
Lineage: Eukaryota; Metazoa; Chordata; Mammalia; Rodentia; Muridae
Source: RefSeq, a predicted model, not a curated record